GCUGCUGAAGGACCUUCUGAGGACGAGUGGCAAAUUGCUCUUCAAGAAACAAAGGCAGCAUUAUAAAACAAAACCUAGACGAAGGAAAUUAGUUGUCCAGUAAGAAUUUAAGCUGACAAAUUAACUGCAAUUGACUAUGCUUGAAUCAGCUUGUGCAGUCGGACUAUAAAAGCUGAAUAUGUAAACACCAUUUUUUUUUUCUAAACUUCCUUGGCAAAAUUACUCAAAUCUUAAGGUUUAGACACAUUCUCAUCAAGCUCUCUGCUAAAGGGUCAAUUAACUUAAAAAGUUUCUGUUUCAAGGUCUACAUCCAUACUCGUACUCCUACUAAAAACUCCGCUGAAAAUCAUGAAGUAAUAUGGCUUGCCUUUUUUUGAAAAGAAUGUGUAUAGCAAGAAUAAACAUUUAAUUAGACCACAUAAUCCAAGGCUAGACGCAGAUUUUUCUAAAAUUAAAACAAUAGACGGUGCAAAAUCUAAUAUGACCUUUCUUCAUAGAACUUAAGUUUGUAGGGAUCUUCCAAACAAACAAAAGAAGCGAAAAAUGCAUCAACAGAUGCAUCGGAAAAUUCUGAUGGAGAUAAUCCUCGACUGACUUGUUGCUUUGGAAAUGUAGUCUCUUGCAUUGGUCUUUUUGAAGACUAAUAGGACCAAUCAGAAAUCUAUCACCGUGGAAGCCAAGAUUACUGAUUCUUCUCCCAACCUUCCAACUCCAGAUAUCACCAGUAUUUGGCUAAUUUAUUGGAGCAUAUGGUAAGCCUUCUCCAGAUUCACGAAGAGAAACUGGCCUCAGACCAAGGGUGGAUCCAGUCUCCCAGUUCAAUGGGAUCAAUUGCGACUUGCAAAGGCUACUGAGGAUUUAGCCCAAGUUUAGCUGAAGCAAUUCUCUUAGACCGGCUAAACUUGAAUCGAUCGGCUUCAAAGUGUUGUGCCCCAGAUAGACCUGACCUCGUUUCCUCAAAUGGGUUUGAAUCAGUUGAUACACAAAUAACCCCAAUUAAAUUGCCAUUGUCAUCGUAGAAAGGAGUGGUGGCAAUGACUUCACCUUUCGCCUUUUUUGGUCUUAACCCGGAACUGCCAAAUCCAGCCCUCUCCCGUAAUCAACGUACGAUUUAAUAU
RNAcentral lists this long non-coding RNA (1118 nucleotides) under Panax ginseng (ginseng). RNAcentral's name for it is "long non-coding RNA (PGIN_LNC019207)". Lineage: Eukaryota; Viridiplantae; Streptophyta; Magnoliopsida; Apiales; Araliaceae. The record is from RNAcentral.